Molecule: ribosomal RNA, 253 nt
Filed under: uncultured bacterium
Lineage: Bacteria
Description: partial 16S ribosomal RNA
Rfam family: Bacterial small subunit ribosomal RNA
Source: RNAcentral
UACGAAGGGGGCUAGCGUUGCUCGGAAUCACUGGGCGUAAAGGGUGCGUAGGCGGAUUGUUAAGUCAGGGGUGAAAUCCUGGAGCUCAACUCCAGAACUGCCUUUGAUACUGGCAAUCUUGAGUCCGGAAGAGGUGAGUGGAAUUCCCAGUGUAGAGGUGAAAUUCGUAGAUAUUGGGAAGAACACCGGUGGCGAAGGCGGCUCUCUGGACCGACACUGACGCUGAGGCGCGAAAGCGUGGGGAGCAAACAGG